CUGGGAGCCAGAGAGCCGACGCUCUGGGCCGGUCAGGAUCUCGGUGGCUCACGCGGCUUUCCAGAGCGGGGCACGGGCUGCCGCGGGGCUUCUGCGGCUUCUCGCCCACGGUUUGCGUCCACACUCCGCUCCGGCUCGGGGGGGGGAAACAACAAGGUUUCCCCGGGACAGCGGUUCGGAGCUGGGGGUACCGUGGAGGAGGCGCCAUGAGGCCCAGCCCAGAGGGGCCUACUCGCCUCCCCAGGCCCCGCCCCGCGCAAAGCACGCUGGGAGCCGCGGGCUGCAGGAGCCUGCAGUCCUGCGGGGUGGAGGUCCUGGUUCUUACUGGCUGCUUUGUCCCAGCUUUGGUUCUUUUGGGGUAUCGACAACCCCAGGACCUCAACGCGCGCACCCGGGCCCCAGCUUACCCUGCCCCUGACCCGGUGCGGAUGGGACAAUGCCGUGUCAGACCCCACCGGGGCCUUGCUCCCGGCCUGAGCCCGCCCGGGCCCUUCUGACACUGACCACGCACGGAAAGCUGCUGCCGCUGGCCAGUCUCUACUUGGUGCAGGGCCUGCCCUAUGGGCUGCAGUCCAGCCUGCUGCCUAUCCUGCUGCGGGCCCGCGGCCUCUCCCUGACGCGCGUGGGUCUAGCCAAAGGUCUGUAUGCACCAUGGCUGUUCAAGCUGGCGUGGGCCCCACUGGUGGACAGACGGGGCUCCCCGCGGACCUGGCUGACGCUCAGCACAGCGGCUCUAGGCCUAGUAUGUGGGCUGCUGGCCGCCCUGCCUCCCAACCAAGGUAGCCAGGACGCGCUGCCCGCCACCGUGAUGGGGCUGCUGCUGUUGCUGAACCUUGGUGCGGCUGUGCAGGACGUAGCCCUGGAUACACUGGCCGUCCAGCUCCUGGAUCCAGCCGAGCUGGGACCCGGCAACACCGUGCAGGUGGUCGCUUACAAGCUGGGGGCAGCGCUGGCUGGGGGCGGACUGCUUGUUCUCUCGCCCACUCUAUCUUGGCCACUGGUCUUUGUGCUCCUGGCUGCCACCUACUGGCUGGCCGCGGCACUGGCCUGGACUGCACCAGCGCUGCACCAGCUACCAUGGCCUCAGCCCUCAGAGCACACCCCACACCUGCAGGAUUUGCUGGCUGCUCCUGAGACCCUGUGGACAGCAGGCUUUGUGCUCACCUACAAGCUGGGUGAGUUAAGUCUCAAGCCAGGCAACAACAGGACCGGGGCCUCAGGGACAGCUCCAGGUGGGUCCCCGAGGCCUCUGGGACCCACUUAAGGGGCCGCCCUCUUUCUUGGGCUGGCUCCAGAACCCAGCCUGGAUCGCAGCACCCCGGGUUCUGCAACCUGGCCUUGCCUCUUGUCCUCCCUCGGCUGCAGCCCAAGUCCUAGCCCCUUGAGUUGCUCUGGUGUUGUUGUCUGCUGACCCUGGGCUCCACCAAAUGCCCAGUGCAUUUCUCUCCCAGCACCUGUGGCCCAGGAUAAUGGGGGCAGGGCAGGGGCCCAGGUGGGGAGAAGUAGGGGCAGGCAUGGGGAUUGCUGCUUCUUCUGCAGGUGAGCAGGGCGCUGGCAGCCUAUUUCCGCUCCUCCUACUGGACCAUGGUGCUUCUGCCCCAGAGCUGGGACUCUGGAACGGCUUGGGUGCUGUGGCCUGCUCUAUCACUGGAUCCUCCUUGGGUGGAGCCCUACUGGUCAGGCAUUGGUAAGCCCUUCUCAGCCUGCCCUACCCCCUCCUCACCCUUGGCCCUGUCCUAGAUCCUCUGACCUAUAACCUCCCCACUCCCACCCCAACCCCAGGGAGCCACUCCUUCUGUUGAGGUCAGUGCUGCAGCUCCGCCUUGGGGGCUUGGCCUGCCAGACUGCUCUGCUCUUCUACCUGGACACUCCAGGGGUCAGUGUGGGCCCUGGCACACUCCUAAGAGGUGAGGGGCUGGCUUUGGGGGUGGAGGGUCCGGGAGUUUGGGGCCCUGCUGACCUCUCUUCUCUCAGGAGCAGCCUUGCUGAGCCUGUGUCUGCAGCACUUCCUGGGGGGCCUGGUCACCACUGCCACCUUCACUGUGAUGAUGCAUUGCAGCCAGCUGGCACCCAGGGCCCUUCAGGUGAGGGGAUGUGGCAGGGACACCCAGGAGCUGGGAAGGCCUGAGGCUCUGACCAUACACCCCAUCCCCAGGCAACGCACUAUAGCCUCCUGGCCACUCUGGAGCUGCUGGGCAAGUUGCUGAUGGGUGCCCUGGCUGGAAUGCUGGCUGAUGGUCUGGGCCCACAUCCCUGCUUCACCGUCUUUCUUGUACUCUCAGCACUGCCCCUUUUGGACCUUAGCCUGGCACCCAGCACCCUGGCCUGAACUGGGCGGGAGGACUGUCAAUAAAGCCAAGUGUGCCUUUAGCCUGAAUGUGUCUGCAGAAUGUGAGGCACAGCUGUCCUCAGCCUAAGGGCCGCCUUGCUGGAAAGGAGGGCCCAUGAAAACAAC
RNAcentral lists this long non-coding RNA (2455 nucleotides) under Marmota monax (woodchuck). Lineage: Eukaryota; Metazoa; Chordata; Mammalia; Rodentia; Sciuridae. The record is from RNAcentral.